This 429-nucleotide ribosomal RNA is filed under the name Chloroflexota bacterium. RNAcentral describes it as "Chloroflexi bacterium partial 16S ribosomal RNA". It matches the Rfam family "Bacterial small subunit ribosomal RNA", at positions 355 to 776 of the family's 1533-position model. The record is from RNAcentral. Lineage: Bacteria; Bacillati; Chloroflexota.
UGGGGAAUAUUGCACAAUGGGCGCAAGCCUGAUGCAGCCAUGCCGCGUGUAUGAAGAAGGCCUUCGGGUUGUAAAGUACUUUCAGCGGGGAGGAAGGGAGUAAAGUUAAUACCUUUGCUCAUUGACGUUACCCGCAGAAGAAGCACCGGCUAACUCCGUGCCAGCAGCCGCGGUAAUACGGAGGGUGCAAGCGUUAAUCGGAAUUACUGGGCGUAAAGCGCACGCAGGCGGUUUGUUAAGUCAGAUGUGAAAUCCCCGGGCUUAACCCGGGAAUUGCAUCUGAUACUGGUCAGCUAGAGUCUUGUAGAGGGGGGUAGAAUUCCAUGUGUAGCGGUGAAAUGCGUAGAGAUCUGGAGGAAUACCGGUGGCGAAGGCGGCCCCCUGGACAAAGACUGACGCUCAGGUGCGAAAGCGUGGGGAGCAAACAGG